Molecule: ribosomal RNA, 503 nt
Filed under: uncultured bacterium
Lineage: Bacteria
Description: partial 16S ribosomal RNA
Rfam family: Bacterial small subunit ribosomal RNA
Source: RNAcentral
GAUGAACGCUAGCGGCAGGCCUAACACAUGCAAGUCGAGGGGUAGCAGGAUUAAGCUUGCUUAAUUGCUGACGACCGGCGCACGGGUGCGUAACGCGUAUGCAACCUACCAUAUACUGGGGUAUAGCCCGGAGAAAUUCGGAUUAAUCCCCCAUAGUACUAAUGAAUCGCAUGGUUUAUUAGUUAAAGCAUUGCGGUAUAAGAUGGGCAUGCGUCCUAUUAGCUAGAUGGUGAGGUAACGGCUCACCAUGGCUACGAUAGGUAGGGGGCCUGAGAGGGUGGUCCCCCACACUGGUACUGAGACACGGACCAGACUCCUACGGGAGGCAGCAGUGAGGAAUAUUGGUCAAUGGGCGCAAGCCUGAACCAGCCAUGCCGCGUGCAGGAAGAAUGCCCUAUGGGUUGUAAACUGCUUUUAUUUGGGAAUAAACCUCUUUACGUGUAGAGAGCUGAAGGUACCAAAUGAAUAAGCGCCGGCUAACUGCGUGCCAGCAGCCGCCGUAA